RNAcentral lists this ribosomal RNA (253 nucleotides) under uncultured bacterium. RNAcentral describes it as "partial 16S ribosomal RNA". It matches the Rfam family "Bacterial small subunit ribosomal RNA", at positions 524 to 776 of the family's 1533-position model. The record is from RNAcentral.
UACGUAGGGCGCAAGCGUUGUCCGGAAUUAUUGGGCGUAAAGAGCUCGUAGGCGGUCUGUUGCGUCUGCCGUGAAAACCCGAGGCUUAACCUCGGGCCUGCGGUGGAUACGGGCAGACUAGAGGUAGGUAGGGGAGAACGGAAUUCCCGGUGUAGCGGUGGAAUGCGCAGAUAUCGGGAGGAACACCGGUGGCGAAGGCGGUUCUCUGGGCCGUAACUGACGCUGAGGAGCGAAAGCAUGGGGAGCGAACAGG